RNAcentral lists this ribosomal RNA (256 nucleotides) under uncultured bacterium. RNAcentral describes it as "partial 16S ribosomal RNA". It matches the Rfam family "Bacterial small subunit ribosomal RNA", at positions 526 to 779 of the family's 1533-position model. The record is from RNAcentral.
CAGAGGGUGCAAGCGUUAAUCGGAAUUACUGGGCGUAAAGCGCGCGUAGGUGGCUUGGUAAGUUGAAUGUGAAAUCCCCGGGCUCAACCUGGGAACUGCAUCCAAAACUAGCCUGGCUAGAGUACGGUAGAGGGUGGUGGAAUUUCCUGUGUAGCGGUGAAAUGCGUAGAUAUAGGAAGGAACACCAGUGGCGAAGGCGACCACCUGGACUGAUACUGACACUGAGGUGCGAAAGCGUGGGGGAGCAAACAGGAUU